Molecule: ribosomal RNA, 1291 nt
Filed under: Octangioides ujati
Lineage: Eukaryota; Metazoa; Platyhelminthes; Trematoda; Plagiorchiida; Microscaphidiidae
Description: partial large subunit ribosomal RNA
Rfam family: Eukaryotic large subunit ribosomal RNA
Source: RNAcentral
GCGAGUGAACAGGGAAAAGCCCAGCACCGAAGCCUGUGGCCAUNUGGCUACUAGGCAAUGUGGUGUUUAGGUUGUCUCGCAGAGACUUUGUCCCACCCCAAGUCCAGCUAUGAGUAUGGUUAUUCAGACUUGGCCCACAGAGGGUGAGAGGCCCGUGGGGGUGGGAUUCAGUUAUGUCAAUGUCUCUCUGAGUCGACCUUGGAGUCGGGUUGUUUGAGAUUGCAGCCCAAAGUGGGUGGUAGACUCCAUCCAAGGCUAAAUACUUACACGAGUCCGAUAGCGAACAAGUACCGUGAGGGAAAGUUGAAAAGUACUUUGAAGAGAGAGUAAACAGUGCGUGAAACCGCUCAGAGGUAAACGGGUGGAGUUGAACUGCAAGCUCUGAGAAUUUAGCUGGUGAGUGUGGUUUGGGCUUGGACAAAUUGGUUGGUCAUAUGGGUCUGCUUAGCUGCAGGUCCUCGCCCUCGGGUGGGGAUGCGCGAGGCACUUGCAAAGUGUUGCGCGCCCAAUUGGUGACUCGGACCAGCUUGCCAGUGCACUUUCUCAGAGUGUUCACCACGACUGACGCUGCUGUCUGUCUGAUACGGUUAAACCGGCCUUGUAUUGUCCUCGUGGCUUUGCUUGGUCGGGAUGGCAGGUAGCUCGUUGGCUUGUAUGUUGGUUUCGGCUAGCGUACGCCUGGCUUUCGAGUGUAAUCAGCUGACUGUGUUGGUACUGUGCAGUGCGUCAGAGACGGCGGCUUGUUGUGUGCGCGUUUGUGCCUGUUUCGUUGACGGAACUGAGUUUGGUUAUUUUGUUGCCUGUGUAGGCAGGCCUGGUGAUAUCUCAGUUCUGCUCAGUGAGCGGUUGCAAGUGUGACACAUUUCAGGGCCUACAGUCUGUGGUGUAGUGGUAGACUUUCCACCCGACCCGUCUUGAAACACGGACCAAGGAGAGUAACAUGUGCGCAAGUCAAUGGGCGUUACGAAACCCAAAGGCGUAGUGAAAGUAAAUGUUCGGCUUGUCUGAACUGAGGUGAGAUCCUGCCGUUUCUCACGCGCGGUACUACCAAGCGUUCGAUCGGUGGGCGCAUCACCGGCCCGUCCCAUGACGUGGUUGCGGUUUUCGGACUGUGCAUCGUCGGGGCGGAGCAUGAGCGUACAUGUUGAGACCCGAAAGAUGGUGAACUAUGCUUGCGCAGUUGAAGCCAGAGGAAACUCUGGUGGAGGACCGUAGCGAUUCUGACGUGCAAUCGAUCGUCAACGUGAGUAUAGGGGCGAAAGACUAUCGAACCAUCUAGUAGCUGGUUCCC